RNAcentral lists this unclassified non-coding RNA (307 nucleotides) under plant metagenome. Its description in RNAcentral is "partial contains 5.8S ribosomal RNA, internal transcribed spacer 2, and large subunit ribosomal RNA". The stretch from base 1 to 105 matches the Rfam family "5.8S ribosomal RNA", at positions 50 to 154 of the family's 154-position model. The record is from RNAcentral.
GAAACGCGAUAGUUAAUGUGAAUUGCAGAAUUUAGUGAAUCAUCGAAUCUUUGAACGCACAUUGCGCCCGCCAGCACUCUGGCGGGCAUGCCUGUUCGAGCGUCAUUUCAACCCUCAGAACCCCUUGCGGGAUCUGGCGUUGGGGAUUGGCAUCCAGCCAGCCCCGAAAUCUAGUGGCGGUCCCUCCGCGACCUCCCCUGUGCAGUAGCGAUACCUCGCAGCGGGACAGCGGUCUGACCACGCCGUAAAACCCCCAACUUCUCAAGGUUGACCUCGAAUCAGGUAGGAAUACCCGCUGAACUUAAGC